Orcinus orca (killer whale) is the source of this 603-nucleotide long non-coding RNA. RefSeq lists it as uncharacterized. The transcript is spliced from 2 exons. NCBI's taxonomy places the organism in Eukaryota, Metazoa, Chordata, Mammalia, Artiodactyla, Delphinidae. The record is from RefSeq and is a predicted model, not a curated record.
AGUGGUGCCGCCUACUCCGCCGCCCGGCCGGGCUGAGCCGGCAAGGGGAAGCCGCAGCGGGCUGCGGUCCGCGCCGCUGAAGGGAGCUCGCGGCGGCCUCCUCGGCUGCCUCGUGCGCUGUUCUGAAAGGUCCCGGGACCCCGAGGAGCGGAGGAGAGAGCCACCUCUAACAACGCAGAUUCUGGGUCAGCACGUGGGGUGCCGUGAACCGAGCGCUCAAGCCCCAGUGUUACACCCGCAGGAGGGUGCGGGGGAGCCCCGAGUCCGGGAGAGGGCCGGUCCCCCUGUUCUGGGGUCUCCCCUCGGCCACCCCGCACAGUCGUCUGGAUGCCCGGGUCAGGAAACCCCUGUGCACCUCCCCGAGUCAUUUUCCGAGAAGUACGCGGGCCUCUCACUGUUGUGGCCUCUCCCGUUGCAGAGCACAGGCUCCGGACGCACAGACUCAGCAGCCAUGGCUCAUGGGCCUAGCCACUCCGCGGCAUGUAGGAUCUUCCCAGACCAGGGCACGAACCCGUGUCCCCUGCAUCAGCAGGCGGACUCUCAACCACUGUGCCACCAGGGAAGCCCCUCAAACAUGUAUUUUUAAAUUAAAAAAAUUUUUUU